RNAcentral lists this long non-coding RNA (693 nucleotides) under Theobroma cacao (cacao). Its description in RNAcentral is "long non-coding RNA (TCAC_LNC001697)". Lineage: Eukaryota; Viridiplantae; Streptophyta; Magnoliopsida; Malvales; Malvaceae. The record is from RNAcentral.
UUCGAGUCCGAAUGAAAGUCCUUGUCAAAGUCAGCUAACUAUGGAAUUCCCUUAGCCUGAAAUGUGAGGAAAUGAGGGUGGUGAGAUUAUAAAAUCCCAGUGAGUAAACAGAUACCAUCUAAACUAUCCAAAGUCGAGUAAAUGGAGACAAUUAAAAUAAAUCAUCAUACUGUAAUUUCAUUACCUUUCAACUCAUUUCAACCAAAUAAAAUCAAUCCAUAAAAAUCGAGAAAUCAACUUGGCUUAUGAAUUUCUUAAAACUUUGGCUCGUGCCAAAACUCAUACUCGAUGAUACCUUGCGCAGGGCAUCUAACCGAGUCUGCCAAGGCUGUUAAAAUCUUGUAUACACUUAAAAUAUAUUUUAGUUUGAGAAAAUACAGCCGUUCCUUGGCGUUGGAUGAGUUCCCCUUCACGUGGUGGUUUGGCGUGAAGUGAACCCUAAGCUAUACCCCAGGAGAUACCCUACGCGCCUCUCCGUUCGAGAUAAUAAUAUAAUGGAGUUUACCGUGCCCCUUUAAUAGGCUGGUCCACGGAACCCCCUCUGCAGUAAAUAAUUAAUAUAUAAUCCACCAAUCAAUAAAAUUCAUUCUAGCAUGACAUGGCAAUUUAGUGCAACCUAGCCUCUCAAGGCUGAAUACACAGUAUAAAUAAUUCUAACACCAAAAUCAGUUUAGCCAUUCAUGCUCAUUUAUU